GAGAAGAGACAACAGACUGAACAAUUCUUUUUUUUUUUUCAUACCUUUAAUGGUAUGAGUUGGAGGCCAUGAUCCAAGUCCUCACCACUUCCUAUUUUGGAUACUCACAUGCAAGACUUGAGAGUGAUUAGAAUGGAGUGCUUGGAGAAAUGUUUUGGCCAGGGAUUGGAAACUCAGAAAGAGGCAUAGAGAAAGUCAUGGACAGAAUGAAGACCAAAGUUGUGAGAAGGUGUUAGGUAGCCUAAGUACAUGAAUGCAACUGAAAUGUCUUUCACUUCUGGGUCUCAAGACAGUUUGUGA
Long non-coding RNA from Colius striatus (speckled mousebird), 300 nucleotides. RefSeq lists it as uncharacterized. The transcript has 3 exons. Lineage: Eukaryota; Metazoa; Chordata; Aves; Coliiformes; Coliidae. The record is from RefSeq and is a predicted model, not a curated record.